RNAcentral lists this ribosomal RNA (486 nucleotides) under uncultured bacterium. RNAcentral describes it as "partial 16S ribosomal RNA". It matches the Rfam family "Bacterial small subunit ribosomal RNA", at positions 30 to 507 of the family's 1533-position model. The record is from RNAcentral.
AUUGAACGCUGGCGGCAUGCCUUACACAUGCAAGUCGAACGGCAGCACGGGUGCUUGCACCUGGUGGCGAGUGGCGAACGGGUGAGUAAUACAUCGGAACAUGUCCUGUAGUGGGGGAUAGCCCGGCGAAAGCCGGAUUAAUACCGCAUACGAUCUACGGAUGAAAGCGGGGGACCUUCGGGCCUCGCGCUAUCGGGUUGGCCGAUGGCUGAUUAGCUAGUUGGUGGGGUAAAGGCCUACCAAGGCGACGAUCAGUAGCUGGUCUGAGAGGACGACCAGCCACACUGGGACUGAGACACGGCCCAGACUCCUACGGGAGGCAGCAGUGGGGAAUUUUGGACAAUGGGCGAAAGCCUGAUCCAGCAAUGCCGCGUGUGUGAAGAAGGCCUUCGGGUUGUAAAGCACUUUUGUCCGGAAAGAAAUCCUUGGCUCUAAUACAGUCGGGGGACGACGGUACCGGAAGAAUAAGCACCGGCUAACUACGUG